This 389-nucleotide ribosomal RNA is filed under the name Triticum aestivum (bread wheat). RNAcentral describes it as "partial small subunit ribosomal RNA". Lineage: Eukaryota; Viridiplantae; Streptophyta; Magnoliopsida; Poales; Poaceae. The record is from RNAcentral.
AAAGUCAGCACGUGGCGGAAUUAUGUCCCACAGGUUGGACACCUCCUCCUCACUCAGCCUUGUUCUUUGAGCUACGAUGGCUUCAUGAAGUGGGUCAUCAUCAUCUUCAUCGAGUGGGUCCUCAUUAUCUUCAUCAUCUUCGUCAUCUUCAUCAUCUUCCACCAGGUUGAGAUAAAUGACAGCCAACUUGGGUCUUUCUGCUCGGAAGGAGAAGCUGAUCAACUCACCACCAGUAAGACGCAUGCGAGCGACGAAACGGGCCCAUCCAUCUCCUCCAAUCUGCGACAUAUUGCGUCCUUUCUCGACCUCCAUAGUGUACGGCCCCCCAGGAGCCUCAAAUGUCACAGUGUCUCCUGUCAGCUUGUUGAAUUUCAACCUCACAUUGCAUG